This is a long non-coding RNA of Gallus gallus (chicken), 1224 nucleotides long. NCBI's taxonomy places the organism in Eukaryota, Metazoa, Chordata, Aves, Galliformes, Phasianidae. The record is from Ensembl.
AGAGAGGCACUGCACUAAUAAAUGUGGAAGAAUGCCAGCUCUGUGGAAAUAUUGACAGGUCUGGUGUAAAAUUCAGUUUUUCCAAUACCACUCCAACUAAACAGAAUGAAUGGAACAUUAGACUCUCAGGGCCUGUGGCUGCAGGUACAUCACUCACUGAACACCUUCCCAGCUAUGCAGCUAAGGGGCGAAGGCCGAUGUUCUGCUUAAAAUCACAAGCCUACCAGCACUUCUUCUGCAGCAGUUCUUCCUCUACUCCCCGGUUACUUACGUUGAAGAGGAGCAGUUUCCAGCCAUGUUCUGUGUGCAGAAGAUGUGGUAGGGACUGCAGGUUCUCUCUGCAUUAUUUUUUGCUGAGAUGAAUUUACCCACCAUGCCAUGCUGACCACCCUUUGAUGAGAGCUGUCCUGCCAUCACCUAGCAGUCUGAGCACAACAAACCAUGCAACAGCGAUACAGAACCCUAUGACAAAGUUGUUCUCACUCGAGGAUGGUGUUUCAUAUGGUGCAUUUGUUUCCUGGUGAAUCUGCGUGCUCUGCUCCCUCUGCAAUAUUCAUUAACACAGGGCCUUUCUCAACAGCUGUGUAUGUGCCACAAGGCAUAAGACGUUGCUCUCCAUUAAGAGUGAAAGCAGAACAAAGCAGAGGACAGGAGAUGCAAAGGGAAGGAGGUGUAUAGAAGAUUUGUUGUUGCUCCUGGUGUAAAAUAACAAAGCCAGCUCUUCCAUCAGAUGAACAGCAGCAUAAACUUUCCCUUCCCCUGCAAGUCAGGAUCUCUGUGCAUAGUCCAACUACCCAACAACACCAAACGGCGCUUUAUUCCUCCUUUUAAGAACCACCAUUUAAAUGAAUUAUCAGAAUUAUUACAGAAUCAACGACUUCAGUCAAACCUUCUGGCACCCACUGAUCUGUGUAAGAAUGUGUAUUUGGCCCCACAUGAAAUGCAGAGAUGUGCCACUGAUUUGUACUUCUACUCCGAAUCACACAGCUUUUAUCUGGCUGGAACCAAUGCAUCGAAAAUAUGUUAUUCAUCUGAGUUACUACUUAACAUGAUAGUUUCUAGCAGAAUCAACAGUCUUAUCACUGUUUGUACUGGUGUGUAAACACUCAGGGACUGUAUCUCUUGAGCACUACUACAGAAUGUGAUAGUGAAGUGCCUGUUAUUUAGAUAUCAUUUUCUUAAUCACCAUGUUACAUGGAAAAGCUGCUCAUAGCUCAGCAAGAG